This 496-nucleotide ribosomal RNA is filed under the name uncultured bacterium. Its description in RNAcentral is "partial 16S ribosomal RNA". It matches the Rfam family "Bacterial small subunit ribosomal RNA", at positions 28 to 506 of the family's 1533-position model. The record is from RNAcentral.
GAUGAACGCUGGCGGCGUGCCUAAUACAUGCCAGUCGAGCGAACGGACGAGAAGCUUGCUUCUCUGAUGUUAGCGGCGGACGGGUGAGUAACACGUGGAUAACCUACCUAUAAGACUGGGAUAACUUCGGGAAACCGGAGCUAAUACCGGAUAAUAUUUUGAACCGCAUGGUUCAAAAGUGAAAGACGGUCUUGCUGUCACUUAUAGAUGGAUCCGCGCUGCAUUAGCUAGUUGGUAAGGUAACGGCUUACCAAGGCAACGAUGCAUAGCCGACCUGAGAGGGGGAUCGGCCACACUGGAACUGAGACACGGGCCAGACUCUUACGGGAGGCAGCAGUAGGGAAUCUUCCGCAAUGUGCGAAAGCCUGACGGAGCAACGCCGCGUGAGUGAUGAAGGUCUUCGGAUCGUAAAACUCUGUUAUGAGGGAAGAACAUAUGUGUAAGUAACUGUGCACAUCUGGACGGUACCUAAUCAGAAAGCCACGGCUAACUACGG